This 225-nucleotide long non-coding RNA is filed under the name Elaeis guineensis (African oil palm). RNAcentral's name for it is "long non-coding RNA (EGUI_LNC027167)". The record is from RNAcentral. Lineage: Eukaryota; Viridiplantae; Streptophyta; Magnoliopsida; Arecales; Arecaceae.
CCUAUAGCCUAUAUGGAUUAAGGAAUACUGCAGUACAGAUUUAUCAAAACUAAUCAUGGGUCGAUCAUUGUGUUUAUGAAUGGAUGUAUAUAUAGACUUAAAUCCUUAAUCUAGCGAGGACGUCGAGGCUUAAAUGGGGGAAAUAUGUGAGGAUCCAUAUUGACAUAUAUAUUUAGUCCCAAAUUCAUUAUUCGCUAGAAAAAUUUUGAGUACUUAUAUAGAGCC